AAGUUCUAAUCCACAUGAUGUGUUUUGCGUCAUAUUACUCAUGACAAAUUCAUGGAUUCUGGAGAAACCUCCUCUAGCAUUUCCUCCAUUGGAGGUUCUCUGUUGUACAAUGAUAAUGAGCCGGCAAAAACUGACAUCCAUUGCUCUUUAGUUGCUGGACUCUGGAAUUUUUGAGGUUGGGCAGAAGGCCAUAUGGUUCGGAGCAUGCAUUUCUGGCUCUAGAAUGCAGAUCUCAUAGUCAAGGAACGGUUACAGAAGUCUUUCAGGCAUCAGAACUAGGAAUAGUUUGAAGAAACCUGAAUUCAUGAAUAGUGAGACGGGAAUACAAAUAUUCAUGGAGAUGGUGAAGUGUCUCAUGCAAGUUGCAUGCAUUUACCUCUCCCUGGGUCGGAUUGCAUCGUUUGAACGAUAAAGACAAUAUUAGGUGCACUGAGGAUUGACUUGUAUAUCACUUAUUUCAGCUAACUGUAGGAUAACGCUUGUGUAAAGAAUCAUCUUUCGAAGUAGACAAGUAAGGUGGUUCUUUGUAACCAUUUUCUUAAAGCUACUUUUUUUUUUGUCUCUACUUUACAUUCUUUCUGCUCUCAGCCGACGGAGUGUGAACUCGAAAUUCUAUCAAUCAAUUACUUCUGUCA
Long non-coding RNA from Lolium rigidum, 635 nucleotides. RefSeq lists it as uncharacterized. NCBI's taxonomy places the organism in Eukaryota, Viridiplantae, Streptophyta, Magnoliopsida, Poales, Poaceae. The transcript is spliced from 2 exons. The record is from RefSeq and is a predicted model, not a curated record.